GACGAACGCUGGCGGCGUGCUUAACACAUGCAAGUCGAACGAAGAGCGACGGAAGCUUGCUUCUAUCAAUCUUAGUGGCGAACGGGUGAGUAACGCGUAAUCAACCUGCCCUUCAGAGGGGGACAACAGUUGGAAACGACUGCUAAUACCGCAUACGAUCUAACCUCGGCAUCGAGGAUAGAUGAAAGGUGGCCUCUACAUGUAAGCUAUCACUGAAGGAGGGGAUUGCGGCUGAUUAGCUAGUGGGAGGGGUAACGGCCCACCAAGGCGAUGAUCAGUAGCCGGUCUGAGAGGAUGAACGGCCACAUUGGGACUGAGACACGGCCCAGACUCCUACGGGAGGCAGCAGUGGGGAAUCUUCCGCAAUGGACGAAAGUCUGACGGAGCAACGCCGCGUGAGUGAUGACGGCCUUCGGGUUGUAAAGCUCUGUUAAUCGGGACGAAAGGCCUUCUUGCGAAUAGUGAGAAGGAUUGACGGUACCGGAAUAGAAAGCCACGGCUAACUACGUG
Molecule: ribosomal RNA, 510 nt
Filed under: uncultured bacterium
Lineage: Bacteria
Description: partial 16S ribosomal RNA
Rfam family: Bacterial small subunit ribosomal RNA
Source: RNAcentral